GNNAUUGCGCAUGGGCGAANCCUGCGCAGCGACGCCGCGUGGAGGAUGAAGGUCUUCGGAUUGUAAACUCCUGUCGAGCGGGACGAAUGCGGUGAGCGUUAACAGCGCUCGCCGUUGACGGUACCGCUGGAGGAAGCCCCGGCUAACUCCGUGCCAGCAGCCGCGGUAAUACNGGAGGGGGCCAGCGUUGUUCGGAAUCAUUGGGCGUAAAGGGCGCGUAGGCGGCCAAUCAAGUCCGACGUGAAAUUCCUCGGCUCAACCGGGGGCCUGCGUCGGAUACUGCUUGGCUUGAGUCCCGGAGAGGGUAGUGGAAUUCCCAGUGUAGCGGUGAAAUGCGUAGAUACUGGGAGGAACACCGGUGGCGAAGGCGGCUACCUGGACGGGUACUGACGCUGAGGCGCGAAAGCUAGGGGAGCAAACAGGAUUAGAUACCCUGGUAGUCCUAGCUGUAAACGAUGGGCACUUGGUGUUGCGGGUAUCGACCCCUGCAGUGCCGAAGCUAACGCAUUAAGUGCCCCGCCUGGGGAGUACGGUCGCAAGGCUGAAACUCAAAAGAAUUGACGGA
RNAcentral lists this ribosomal RNA (565 nucleotides) under uncultured bacterium. RNAcentral describes it as "bacterial SSU rRNA". It matches the Rfam family "Bacterial small subunit ribosomal RNA", at positions 359 to 917 of the family's 1533-position model. The record is from RNAcentral.